CGGCAAAAGCUCAAAUUUGAAAUCUGGCACCUUCGGUGUCCGAGUUGUAAUUUGAAGAUUGUAACCUUGGGGUUGGCUCUUGUCUAUGUUUCUUGGAACAGGACGUCACAGAGGGUGAGAAUCCCGUGCGAUGAGAUGCCCAAUCCUAUGUAAGGUGCUUUCGAAGAGUCGAGUUGUUUGGGAAUGCAGCUCUAAGUGGGUGGUAAAUUCCAUCUAAAGCUAAAUAUUGGCGAGAGACCGAUAGCGAACAAGUACAGUGAUGGAAAGAUGAAAAGAACUUUGAAAAGAGAGUGAAAAAGUACGUGAAAUUGUUGAAAGGGAAGGGUUUGAGAUCAGACUCGAUAUUUUGUGAGCCUUGCCUUCGUGGCGGGGUGACCCGCAGCUUAUCGGGCCAGCAUCGGUUUGGGCGGUAGGAUAAUGGCGUAGGAAUGUGACUUUGCUUCGGUGAAGUGUUAUAGCCUGCGUUGAUGCUGCCUGCCUAGACCGAGGACUGCGAUUUUAUCAAGGAUGCUGGCAUAAUGAUCCCAAACCGCCCGUCUUGAACACGGACCA
Molecule: ribosomal RNA, 552 nt
Filed under: Meyerozyma caribbica
Lineage: Eukaryota; Fungi; Ascomycota; Pichiomycetes; Serinales; Debaryomycetaceae
Description: LSU rRNA
Rfam family: Eukaryotic large subunit ribosomal RNA
Source: RNAcentral